This 264-nucleotide ribosomal RNA is filed under the name uncultured Staphylococcus sp. RNAcentral describes it as "partial 16S ribosomal RNA". It matches the Rfam family "Bacterial small subunit ribosomal RNA", at positions 96 to 355 of the family's 1533-position model. The record is from RNAcentral. Lineage: Bacteria; Bacillati; Bacillota; Bacilli; Caryophanales; Staphylococcaceae.
CGGCGGACGGGUGAGUAACACGUGGAUAACCUACCUAUAAGACUGGGAUAACUUCGGGAAACCGGAGCUAAUACCGGAUAAUAUAUUGAACCGCAUGGUUCAAUGUGAAAGACGGUUUUGCUGUCACUUAUAGAUGGAUCCGCGCCGCAUUAGCUAGUUGGUAAGGUAACGGCUUACCAAGGCAACGAUGCGUAGCCGACCUGAGAGGGUGAUCGGCCACACUGGAACUGAGACACGGUCCAGACUCCUACGGGAGGCAGCAGC